This 2448-nucleotide long non-coding RNA is filed under the name Homo sapiens (human). Its description in RNAcentral is "HSALNT0265103". Lineage: Eukaryota; Metazoa; Chordata; Mammalia; Primates; Hominidae. The record is from RNAcentral.
GCUGGGAUUACAGGCGUGAGCCACCGCGCCCGGCCUCUCUCUCUUUCUGUGUAUAGAGGCGAUGCUUGCAACUGCUGCAGCCAUUUUGCCACCAUGGAGGAAGCUUCUUUGGGAAUGAUGCUAACAUAAGGAAGGGAGGGAAAGGAGAAAACAACACUGGGUCCUUGAUGACAUCACUGUCCCAUUGAUCCUACCUGCCUUGACACCCACACUCCCUGCAGAAACAGCUGCUGAUAAAUCUCCAAUACAUCAAGCAUUUUGCAUUGUUUUCUAUUUUUGACAGUGUGAAGCCUCAUGACUUAUAUGUCAGAUUAAGCCUUUUGUUAAGAAGAUAUAAGCAUUGUCAUGAGAAACACCAGACUUUGGUUUAAGUUACUGCUCUGCAACUUUCGGACCUACGUGGCCUUACGAAUGCAUAAACUUCUUCCUGGAAGCUGGCGCUACACAGGAGUCAAGCUGCUCUGAAAAGAGAUAUAAGUGAGACUUCUGAAUUUCCCUCCAGCACCCAGAAAAAGGUAGGAAACAUAACAGGCAUUCUUAAUUAAUUCCUGCAGGAGAACUAAGGUAAAAAGAUGCUUCCCAACAUCAUCCUGAGCCCUCCUUGGAGGUACAACUGGAGGCCGAGAUUUGUGUUUUGACAUUGAGCCUUUUGGGGAUUCAAAGGCACCUCCCUGGUCUCCCCCCAGACCAUAAAGAUAUGAGAAACCCAAGCACCUGUUCUUGGCUGACGCCAGCUGGGAAUUUACUGCCCAUUCUCCUGGGCCUGAUGCCCAGCAGGGCCAGUCUCAGCGGAGUCAACCGUCUGAGAGGAGGAUCGAUUAAGGAAACCGCUGUUCAGGCUUAGACUAUAGAUUUUUUGAAACAGCCCCAUCCACAGCUGUAGAUGGCUCCAGGCUGCUUACGGAGGCAGGAGAAAGUGAUGGUCCCAGCUCCUGGGCUCGCCUUAUGUGACUCUGUGCCUCCUUUCAGGAUUUCUCUUUAAAAACCUAUUUUUGCAAAUGGUUUUCAAAAAGACCCAAAUGAACUUUUUUCAAGUUGGGUCAUAGCCAUGAUACCAGAUGAGUCAUCAGAAGUCCAAACCUAGGGAUCGUUUUGUGGAAGAAUAUAAUUUUGGAACUAGGAAGGUCCUUAGAGAGGGUUCGGUGCAGCAGUCCAACAGAAAUCUAAUGCGAGCCAUGAAUUCCAGAUUUUCUAGCAGACAUAUUAAAAAGUAAAACCAAACAGGUGACAUUAAUUUCAAUAAUAUAUUCUACCUAACCUGAUAUAUCCAAAAUAUUAACAUUUCAACAUGUAAUAAUUAUAAAAACUAUUUUAUCAGCUUUAUCAAUACAUAGCUUAAGUAUCAUAAAAUUCUCUUUUUUUUUUUUUUUUUUUUGAGACAACGUCUUGCUCUGUUACCCAGGCUGGAGUGCAGUGGCAUGAUCUCAGCUCACUGCAACCUCUACUUCCUGGGUUCAAGUGAUUCUCAUGCCUCAGCCGCCUAAGUAGCUGGGACUACAAGCGUAUGCCACCAUGCCCGGCUAAUUUUUGUAUUUUUUGUAAAGAUGGGGUUUCACCAUGUUGCCCAGGCUGGUGUUAAACUCCUGGCCUCAAGUGAUCUGCCCACCUCGGCCUCCCAAAGUGCCGGAAUUACAAGCGUGAGCCACUGCACCCAGCCAGUACCAUAAAAAUUCACCCAUGUAACGUGUACAAUUAAAUGGUUUUUCAUAUAUUUACAGAGUUGUGUAACCAUCACCAUCAUCUAAUUUUAGAAUAUUUUCAUCACCCCAAAAAGACACUUUGCAUCCAUUAGCAGCCACUCCCUGUUACCCUCUUGACCAGCCCCAGGCAACCAUGAAACUGCUUUCUGUCUCUAUGGAGCUGCCUGUUCUGAACACAUCAUAUGAAUGGAAUUGUACAGUAUGUGGGCUUUGCUGAAUUGCUUAUGAAUUCAUCAUAAUGUUUUCAAGAUUCAUCCAUGUUGCAGCAUGCAUCAGUGCUCCAUUCCUUUUCAUUGCUACUGUGUAGAUAAAAAAUUACUAUUAUUAUUAUUAUUAUUAUUAUUAGAGACAGGGUCUCGUUCGAUCACGCAGGCUGGAGUGCAGUACCACCAUCAUAGGUCACUGCAGCCUGGAACUGCUGGGCUCAAGCAAUCCUCCAGCCUCAGCCUCCCAAGUAGGUAAGACUACAGGCACGUGCCACCAUACCCAGCUAAUUCUUAUUUUUAUUUUUUGUAGAGAUGGGGUCUCACUAUGUUGCCCAGGAUGUCUCAAACUUCUGGCCUCAAGUAAUCCUCCCUCCUUGGCCUCUUAAAGUGCUAGGAUUAUAGGCAUGAACCACUGCACUUGACCGAUAAAAAGUUACUGGGGUAUUUUUCAUUCUUUUUUGUACUAAGCCCUUAAAAGCCACUGUGCAUUUUAUACUCACAGCACAUCUCAUCUAGCAAGCGACAUUGCAAGUGCUCGGUUG